Molecule: long non-coding RNA, 568 nt
Organism: Sceloporus undulatus (fence lizard)
Lineage: Eukaryota; Metazoa; Chordata; Lepidosauria; Squamata; Phrynosomatidae
Exons: 3
Source: RefSeq, a predicted model, not a curated record
GCCUUUAUACUUAGCCCCACACACCCUGGACUCCUUCACAAUGAGGACAAAUAAAAAAAGAAACGGACUUUGAAGAAACCAACAUGGGAGGAGAAGGUUAAUUAUGGGCAGAGGAAGAAAGAAGCCAAGCAGUGCUCAGUUAAUCCUGCUGUCAGUUGGUGUUAAGGCAGCGAUCUAAGCACUGGAUUCCAAGAGAAAGAAAGAGGCAGCAUCGUAGAAGGAAGAGAGGAACAAAAACAAAAAGAGGGGAGGAAAAAGAAAAAGAAAACAACAGCAGCAGGAGAAAAUACCAAAUCUAUGCUUGGACCUGGGCUUCUUUCACGCCAAUGCAAAAGGGAAUAUGCAGCACAUUUUUGCCUUCUUCUGCACCAGUUUCCUAGGGGCAGUGUUGGGGGUCAAUUUCCCCAGCAACAUCCAGAUCGGGGGAUUAUUUCCUACGCAGCAAUCCCAGGAACAUGCAGCGUUUAUGUUUGCAUUGUCUCAGUUCACAGAGCCCCCCAAGCUGGCUCCCCAGAUUGAUAUUGUGAAUAUUAGUGACAGCUUUGAAAUGACCUACACCUGUAAGUAA